UAGUGAAAUUUCAAAACUUUUAUUUUGCAAGCCAGCGAAAUUUUGGUUCCUCUCAUCUCUCUCACAAACUCUCUCUCUCGGCAAACUAUCCCUCAAAACUCCCCCAUUUUGGUUCUUCCGUCUUCGCCGCCGCCCCACUCCCCUAUUUUCAGUUGCUAACUCGGCCGCUUCCCUACCCUGUUCGGUCAACCACGACCCCUGCACCAAUAAGCCUUCGCUCUCUUUGCUAGCACAAAAAGAAUAAGAAAAUAGAUACUCGUGCUCUUUCCUUUUUCUUCGUUCCUCUGAAACCCAUCCCCAUGCUUCUCCUUACUGACUAGAUAUUCAGGUUGAGCGUGCCGAGGAGUAGAGUAGGCGAAGGUUGCCGCUAUCAUCUCACUGGAGUCCAGCCACUACAGCGGAAAUCAUCACUCAGGUCCAUUGAAUACAACUUGGGACUCCAGAACUUUGAAAGAAGACAUGGAAGAUAUGUGGAUUCAUCCCAAUGUUAAUAAGGAAUGGAUGAAGUCAGGAGAGAAAAAGGGAAAAGUUCAAUUUUCUCAUGACACAGAGAGGAGGCCUUAUCUUUCCCAUGUGGAACUAAGGGCUCCAGGAAUGGUUCAAUGAUGAGGGAACUCCAAAUUCCGCUACUAGGAAGUCACCAUCUUGGAAUUGAUGAUACCAAAAAUAUUGCAAGAGUGGUACAACACAUGCUUAUAGAUGGUGCUCUUUUGCAAAUUACUGCAAGGAGAUUACGUGGUUCUCCUGAAAAAGUUGAGUUUCUAUUUGAAAAUGGUGGGAGUAUAUUGGCGUCACUUGGUUCCUUUCAGCAAAUGUGGUUUUCAAAAUCUGAGUUUGAGGAACAUGGAGCUUCAAAUGUUCAAACAAAAUGCCCGUAAAGUACUUUACUGGUGCAGACAAUUAUCACAUUAGACAGAAAUUCAUGGAGCUGACUUCACUUUGAUUAGUUCGCUGACGGUAUGGGUUGCUCGGUUUUAAUAUCCUGCUUUAUAGGCGCCCAAACAAUGUACUAUAUAUAUUUACUGUACCUCUCACGAAUCGUUGCUAAUGUUGUACAAUUACGUUACCUGACUUUUAGUUCAACAAAUUAUACUUGUUAGGGAAUCUUUCAAGUUUGUACUUGUUACUGACUUUUAGUUCAACAAAUUAUAUUUGAACAUUGACUUUUACUUUUAGAUUACUA
Coffea arabica (coffee) is the source of this 1183-nucleotide non-coding RNA. The record is from RefSeq and is a predicted model, not a curated record. NCBI's taxonomy places the organism in Eukaryota, Viridiplantae, Streptophyta, Magnoliopsida, Gentianales, Rubiaceae.